AUGACACUGUUGGGUCUUCUGUACCUGGUGACAUUCCUUCCUGGUAUCCUGUCCCAGGUACAGCUUCAGGAGUCAGGACCUGGCCUGGUGAAGCCCUCUCAAACACUGUCCCUCACCUGCUCUGUCACUGGUUACUCCAUCACCAGUGAUUAUACAUGGAACUGGAUCAGACAGUCCCCAUGGAAGAAGCUGGAGUGGAUGGGGUACAUAAAUAGUGCUGGUAGCACCUACUACAACCCAUCCUUCAAGAGCCGCAUCUCCAUCACCAGAGAAGCAUCCAAGAACCAGUUCUUCCUGCAGCUGAACUCUGUGACCACUGAGGACACAGCCACCUAUUACUGUGCAAGAGACACAGUGAGGAGACUUUAG
This is a non-coding RNA of Peromyscus maniculatus bairdii (prairie deer mouse), 369 nucleotides long. The record is from the annotation of a RefSeq genome assembly. Lineage: Eukaryota; Metazoa; Chordata; Mammalia; Rodentia; Cricetidae.